GCACAGCCAGCGCCGGCCAGCUUCCUCCUCUGCGGCUGGGUCUCACUCGCAACUCAGGCAGGAGGAGGGGAAAGCCACAGUGCGGAGCCUGAAGCACAGCAGGUGCACAGAACCAGGGCUCUGGGACCAAGGACAGAAACCAAGGACUAAGAAUGAAAGGACACAUGAAUAAACAGAUCACCUCAUCAGACUACAGGAACAUGUUUUAUUUUUCCAGGUUUCUUUUUAAAACGUCUUGAGAUACCCUCAUCAUUUAAAUGCCAAUCCUUCCUGAAGACAAUGGCAUCAUAAAUGAAAAGACACAGAUGAGAGAACAUUCUAAGUGCAGGGCAGGCAGGGAGGAGGACUGUCCUCUCCGAUCCUCCCACCUCCUGUCCCUCUGCCCCAGGACAUCACACCAACAGCCCCACUUCCCCCAGGCCCUCACCCUUCCUACACCCCACCAGAACCUGCAACAGCCAAGGAAAGGAGAUGGGAUGACACCCAAGAAGAUGACAUCACGCUGAGUCACGGCCCAAAUGCCACCAUUUAAACAUAGUCCAAAUGCCCUGCUCUCCUCAAAGUGGGCCCUGAGCUCUCCAGCUUCAGAGACAAGGGCAAGGACGGAAUCACACCCACUGCAAUGAAAGAGCAAGGACCACAAGGCCCAGGGAGGGGAGCCCUGAUCCCAGAGCAUCAAGUGUGGCAGCCUCCCCUCCCCUGCAGAGUUUAACCAAUUAAACUCAAUUGAUCUUUCCUCCUAGAAAAGGCACCACCAGACAAGCAAAGCAGGCAGCCAGGAAACGGUGGGAGCUCUCAGGCCAGGGGCCAGGUCUGCGCUCAGUACAGUGGUUACAAAUACCCUGAGUAUCUGAACAAGACCAAAUUUCAAACCACCUGCCUUAUUUCCUUCAAGCUGGUUCCAAUCAUUUUUCUCUGUAACACAUCUGAGCAGCAGGAAGCUCGAGGAGGACACGCCCCUACCUGCCUGCUGGCUCCAGCUCUGCAGGCACUGGUGCCCCCUGGCGGCGAUGCGCAGGGCCACCAGUCCACCCCCUUCCCCAGAGCAGAAAGCCCAUCGCUAACAAUGCAGGGCCGGCACUCAGUCACAGGGCCCAGUGCAAAGCAGCAGAGAAAAGAAACCGUGUUCACUGUUCUGUCGGGGUUCAACAUCUCCUCCUGUGUUCCAACCACUUCCCCACGAAACCAAGGUAAACAGGGCUUGUCCCCAGGGUUCUGACAGCCCCACAAGCUGACUGCUGACCGCCCCGCACCACUGGGACAGUGUUUACCAGGGCCUGCAGCAUCCCGUCCAUGGUGACGACCCCCUCGAUGGUCUGGAAGGAGGAGCAGGCCAAAGUGCAUAGGCUCCAGUCCAGGAAACUCGCCAUCUUCUUCUGCUUAACGUCGGGCCGCGUGACAAACCUGCCAAAAGGGGACAGACAGGAGCCUCCUGUCCUGACCAGAAGCCCCCACAGGCCCCUCUUCCCUCAAAACAGCCACCGCCGCCCCACGCGAGAUGCUCAGCCAUUGCAGGGAUUACACUGCGGCCAUGUAGAAGGUCUCCGUGUCAGUAAAACAAAGCUGCCACGACUGUCUUCGCCCACCCCGAUCAGGGUACACACCCAGAGACUUGGUCACCGAGGAUUUACCAAACUUUAGGAUGCUGGUUACAAAGGCGAACUCACAUGCCACCCCUGCCGGCCAAGAAGUUGCGUUACGGCGGGUCUGAGAAGAGGGCCCAGGAAUUUCAUAAAAUCUGCACCUCAGAGUGAUCAUCUAAAAUGGAUAACUGGUAUUAUAUACCCUAUCUCAAUGUCCUUGGCCCUGUUUAAAACCCCUUGAUUCUGGAGGGGGCCACAGGAUGAGGGUCACACCUACAGUGACCUGAUCCUCAGCCUGAAGACAACAGCCGGCUGGCACUCACCCUGCAUGUGGGCAGGCACAGCACCUGCAGUGGGGUGGCCCUCAGGACAGGCGAGGUCACAGGCACAGAACGGCCCACAGGGCUGGUAAGCGGCCCUGCUGGGACCCAAAGCCCAACUUGGAGACGUGAGUCACAGCGCCAGCCACUCAGGGGCCACGCACCCUGCUUCCUCCACCCACUCAUCUGCUGAGCAGGCAGGAGGCUGAUGUUCUGUGUGCAGCCUGUAGCGGCCAACUUCCAUUCCUGGGCAAAAUCACACAAGGUGAGUUUCCAAAUUACAGUAAAAACCUAAGGCUCCUUUGAAAGAUUUAAGCAAAUAGGUUAUUUUAUAUUUUUUAUUUUUCUCUCUAAAAAAGAAAAUGUUAUGUUUGCAGCAGAGGUCCAAAAGUACAGAUAAGCAAAAAUGGAAAAUACCUAUCCCACAGAUGUAACACACAGAACGAGACCCUUCUACACAAACUGAAAGAUCUCUGAAUCCUACACUUCCUUCCCUUUUAGGAAAAGUUACAUCACAGACUACAUCUACUUUCAAUGUGGAACUCAGCUAACAUGUGCAGGUGUUUAGAGACCCCACUGUCUUUCUCUCAGGAAGGUAAUCUCCACAAGAGUGAUCAGCAAAACCUUAACUACAGGACUAGACCUACCAGAGGGACAAAGGGCAAAACACCAGUGGGACACAUUGCUGCUCCGGACCCUUGUCAGUACUGUUACCACAGAGUAUCUGGUCUGAGAGUGAAACAGUACGGGUGAAGUGACAAACCCUACUUUAUGUAAGAACUUACUUUGUGUGUGUUUUUAAAUUAAUUAAUGGAAAAGUUAAAUAUUCACAAAAUGGUGAUAGAAUUUAGUUACCUGUAAGAAGGAAAAAAAUCUAUCAUAUAUCCUAUACCAAAAGAAAUUCCAAAUGGAUUAAUAAUUCUAUAUUAAACAAUAAAAAGGUAGAAAAUAUAAAUGAUUCUUUGUAAAAUCUCUUAAUAGGGUAAGCCUUCAAGCAUAAAAGUAAAAAUAACUAAAUAAAUAAAAGGGAAAAAGUUACUAUUUUGACAUUAGAAUUAAAACUUUAAUCCAAAGAAGAAAGUAAAAGGCUACCAACCCACUGGAGGAAGUAUCACACCCUCCUCUAGCUAACAUCCUUCACAGA
Molecule: long non-coding RNA, 3047 nt
Organism: Delphinapterus leucas (beluga whale)
Lineage: Eukaryota; Metazoa; Chordata; Mammalia; Artiodactyla; Monodontidae
Source: RefSeq, a predicted model, not a curated record